RNAcentral lists this long non-coding RNA (786 nucleotides) under Setaria viridis. RNAcentral's name for it is "long non-coding RNA (SVIR_LNC001060)". The record is from RNAcentral. Lineage: Eukaryota; Viridiplantae; Streptophyta; Magnoliopsida; Poales; Poaceae.
CAAAAGUCUUAAACGAGUUGAUGAAGUCGGACUAAGGUGGAGGUGCGAACUUUAUUUUUGAUUUGGCAUGAUAAGUUACUGAGUUGGACUCCGUUUGGAUUGGUAGAGACAAACUUGAGUUAGACCAAUAUUUGUAUAUAUUAUGUAUAGUAAGUUUUUUCACCAAAAUUUUGGAUAUUCACGUGCAUACCCCUAGCUUAAAACGAUUUGACUUAUGACAAAUUUAAAGGAACACUCUUUACGGGAUGGAGAGAGUAUGCUAGAACGUGGUGGUUGGGUAGGGACAGUGUGAGUAGAGGGAGGGAGAGACUUCAUUUGACAUAUGAGUGCAGAGCAACCUAAUCCAUUCAUCGGAGAUCCUAAGCUUAAAAAUUGAAAUGGUUUGUAAGUUUUUUUUUUACAAUCGGGCGACCAAUUAUUGGUAGAGACAAACUAGAGUUAGACCAAUAUUUGUAUAUAUUAUGUAUAGUAAGUUUUUUCACCAAAAUCUUGGAUAUUCACGUGUAUACCCCUAGCUUAAAACGAUUUGACUUAUGACAAACCUAAAGGAACACUCUUUAUGGGAUGGCGAGAGUAUGUUACAACGUGGUGGUUGGGUAGGGACAGUGUGAUUAGAGGGAGGGAGAGACUUCAUUUGACAUAUAAGUUGCAGAGAAACCUAAUCCAUUCAUCGAAGAUCCAAAGCUUAAAAAUUGAAAUGGUUUGUAAGUUAUUUUUUUUACAAUCGGGCGACUUAGAGCUUGGUGAGAAAGUUGAUUCUAUGACCUAACAAAUUCCUAAGAUUUA